This 3158-nucleotide ribosomal RNA is filed under the name soil metagenome. RNAcentral's name for it is "bacterial LSU rRNA". It matches the Rfam family "Bacterial large subunit ribosomal RNA". The record is from RNAcentral.
UUGAGCGAGAGAAGGGCAUUCGGUGGAUGCCUUGGCACCAGGAGGCGAUGAAGGACGUGGCACGCUGCGAAAAGCCACGGGGAGCCGCGAGCAGGCUUUGAUCCGUGGACAUCCGAAUGGGGCAACCCACCCGCGAGGGUAUCGUUACAUGAAUCCAUAGUGUAACGAGGCAAACCCGGGGAACUGAAACAUCUCAGUACCCGGAGGAACAGACAUCAACGAGAUUCCGUCAGUAGUGGCGAGCGAAAGCGGAACAGGCCAGUGGUCAACUGGGGAUAAGCGGAACGGUCUGGAAAGUCCGGCCAUAGCGGGUGAUAGCCCCGUACGCGUAAAGACCAGUUGAUCCUUGAGUAAGGCGGGACACGUGAAAUCCUGUCUGAACAUGGGGGGACCACCCUCCAAGCCUAAAUACUCCCUGGUGACCGAUAGCGAACAAGUACCGUGAGGGAAAGGUGAAAAGCACCCCGAGAGGGGAGUGAAACAGACCUGAAACCGGAUGCCUACAAGCAGUCGGAGCCUCUUCAUGGGGUGACGGCGUACCUUUUGUAUAAUGGGUCAGCGAGUUUCCGUUCGCGGCAAGCUUAAGCCGAUAGGCGAAGGCGGAGCGAAAGCGAGUCUGAACAGGGCGUUCAGUCGCGGGCGGAAGACCCGAAACCGGGUGAUCUAGCCAUGGCCAGGUUGAAGGUGGGGUAACACCCACUGGAGGACCGAACUCACGCCUGUUGAAAAAGUCGGAGAUGAGCCGUGGCUAGGGGUGAAAGGCCAAUCAAACCCGGAGAUAGCUGGUUCUCCGCGAAAUCUAUUGAGGUAGAUCGUCAUGCGUUUACCCCGGGGGGUAGAGCACUGGAUGGGCUAGGGGGACCCAAAGUCUUACCAAACCUAACCAAACUCCGAAUACCCGGGAGUAUAGCGUGGCAGACAGACGGCGGGUGCUAAGGUCCGUCGUCGAGAGGGAAACAGCCCAGACCGCCAGCUAAGGUCCCCAAAUCGUGGCUAAGUGGGAAAGGAUGUAGGAAGGCCAAGACAACCAGGAGGUUGGCUUAGAAGCAGCCAUCCUUUAAAGAAAGCGUAAUAGCUCACUGGUCUAACAGAAAUCCCGCGCCGAAAAUGUAACGGGGCUCAAGCCACGUACCGAAGCUGUGGAAUCAGUUGUCAGUUGUCAGUUUCCAGUUGUCAGACAGGAGUACCAGGCGAUGGCGGGAGAUGCGUGGAAACUUAAAGUGUUUCAGCGCGCCUACCGGUUGUCGUUGGAACUUCACCGAGCCAGCCUGGAUUGGCCGCGGGUGGAGCAGUACGGCGGCGUGGCGGAACAGUUGCGCCGCGCGUCGAAAUCGGUCUGUGCCCUUCUCGUGGAAGGCGCCGGCCGGCAGCCGGCAUCGGAUGCCGAAUUCCGCCGCUAUGUGAUGAUGGCGAUCGGUUCGGCCGACGAGGCGCGGCUGUGGUGCGAAUACGCCGCCGAUCUCGAGUUUGUCGCGCGUGACACAUCACGCGCCUGGCAGAACGAGUUGGCGGAAAUCGCCCGCAUGCUGCAAGGCCUGCGCGCGAGCCUGUCUGAAAACUGAAAACUGACAACUGACAACUGAUUGGUAGCGGAGCGUUCCGUAAGUCUGCGAAGCCAUACCCGUGAGGGGUGGUGGAGAUAUCGGAAGUGCGAAUGCUGACAUGAGUAGCGACAAACAGAGUGAGAAACUCUGUCGCCGAAAGUCCAAGGGUUCCCGCGCAAGGUUAAUCCGCGCGGGGUCAGCCGGCCCCUAAGGCGAGGGCGAAAGCCGUAGUCGAUGGGAACCAGGUCAACAUUCCUGGGCCUGCCAGAAGUGACGGAUGCGAACUGUUGUUCGAACUUAUCGGAUUGUUCGGGCUUUGUAAGCAUCCCGGGAAAUAGCUCUGGCGUACAGACCGUACCCGAAACCGACACAGGUGGACUGGUAGAGCAUACCAAGGCGCUUGAGAGAACGAUGCUGAAGGAACUAGGCAAAUUGCUCGCGUAACUUCGGGAUAAGCGAGACCUGUUGCCGGGCAACCGGUGGCGGGUGGCACAGAGCAGGGGGUAGCGACUGUUUAGUAAAAACACAGGGCUCUGCGAAGUCGAGAGACGACGUAUAGGGUCUGACGCCUGCCCGGUGCCGGAAGGUUAAGAGGAGGUGUGCAAGCACUGAAUUGAAGCCCCGGUAAACGGCGGCCGUAACUAUAACGGUCCUAAGGUAGCGAAAUUCCUUGUCGGGUAAGUUCCGACCUGCACGAAUGGCGUAACGACUUCCCCACUGUCUCCAGCAUCGGCUCAGCGAAAUUGAAUUCCCCGUGAAGAUGCGGGGUACCCGCGGUCAGACGGAAAGACCCUAUGAACCUUUACUGUAGCUUCGCAGUGGCAGCAGGAGAACUCUGUGUAGGAUAGGUGGGAGACUUUGAAGCCGGGCCGCCAGGUCAGGUGGAGUCAACCUUGAAAUACCACCCUGAGUGCUUUUGCUGUCUAACCGAGACCGGUCAUCCCGGUCCGGGACCCUGCGUGGUGGGCAGUUUGACUGGGGCGGUCGCCUCCCAAAAAGUAACGGAGGCGCGCGAUGGUGGGCUCAGGCCGGUCGGACAUCGGCUGCUGAGUGCAAUGGCACAAGCCCGCCUGACUGCGAGAGUGACAGCUCGAGCAGAGACGAAAGUCGGCCAUAGUGAUCCGGUGGUCCCGCGUGGAAGGGCCAUCGCUCAACGGAUAAAAGGUACUCUAGGGAUAACAGGCUGAUCUCCCCCAAGAGUCCACAUCGACGGGGAGGUUUGGCACCUCGAUGUCGGCUCAUCACAUCCUGGGGCUGGAGCAGGUCCCAAGGGUUCGGCUGUUCGCCGAUUAAAGUGGUACGUGAGCUGGGUUUAGAACGUCGUGAGACAGUUCGGUCCCUAUCUGCCGUGGGUGAAGGAGAUUUGCGAGGAGCUGUCCCUAGUACGAGAGGACCGGGAUGGACAUACCUCUGGUGCACCGGUUGUCACGCCAGUGGCACGGCCGGGUAGCUAAGUAUGGACGGGAUAACCGCUGAAAGCAUCUAAGCGGGAAACCCACCUCUAAACGAGUUCUCCCCGAGGGCCGUGAAAGACCAUCACGUUGACAGGCCGGGUGUGGAAGUGGGGCAACCCAUGAAGCUGACCGGUUCUGAUCGCCCGAUAGACUCCGAUCC